Molecule: ribosomal RNA, 253 nt
Filed under: uncultured bacterium
Lineage: Bacteria
Description: partial 16S ribosomal RNA
Rfam family: Bacterial small subunit ribosomal RNA
Source: RNAcentral
AACGUAGGAGACAAACGUUAUCCGGAGUUACUGGGCGUAAAGGGCGUGUAGGUGGUUUUGUAAGUCUGGCGUGAAAUUUUUCGGCUUAACCGGGAAAGGUCGUCGGAUACUGCAGGACUGGAGGACGGUAGAGGCGUGUGGAAUUCCGGGUGUAGUGGUGAAAUGCGUAGAGAUCCGGAGGAACACCAAUGGCGAAGGCAGCUCGCUGGGACGGUACUGACGCUGAGGCGCGAAAGCGUGGGGAGCAAACAGG